Molecule: non-coding RNA, 94 nt
Organism: Mucidula mucida
Lineage: Eukaryota; Fungi; Basidiomycota; Agaricomycetes; Agaricales; Physalacriaceae
Source: the annotation of a GenBank genome assembly
UGCCCCAUGGCUGAGUUGGUUACAGCGUCCGACUGUUAUUCGUUGUUUGACCUGUAACAUCGGAAGGUCGUGAGUUCGAGCCUCACUGGGGCAG